This 253-nucleotide ribosomal RNA is filed under the name uncultured bacterium. Its description in RNAcentral is "partial 16S ribosomal RNA". It matches the Rfam family "Bacterial small subunit ribosomal RNA", at positions 524 to 776 of the family's 1533-position model. The record is from RNAcentral.
UACGUAGGCAGCGAGCGUUGUUCGGAGUUACUGGGCGUAAAGGGUGUGUAGGCGGUUCUUUAAGUUUGGGGUGAAAUCUCCCGGCUCAACUGGGAGGGUGCGCCGAAUACUGAGGGACUAGAGUGCGGGAGAGGAAAGUGGAAUUCCUGGUGUAGCGGUGAAAUGCGUAGAUAUCAGGAGGAACACCGGUGGUGUAGACGGCUUUCUGGACCGUAACUGACGCUGAGACACGAAAGCGUGGGUAGCAAACAGG